This 253-nucleotide ribosomal RNA is filed under the name uncultured bacterium. RNAcentral's name for it is "partial 16S ribosomal RNA". It matches the Rfam family "Bacterial small subunit ribosomal RNA", at positions 524 to 776 of the family's 1533-position model. The record is from RNAcentral.
UACGUAGGGUGCAAGCGUUGUCCGGAAUUAUUGGGCGCAAAGAGCUCGUAGGCGGUUUGUCGCGUCUGCUGUGAAAACUCGGGGCUUAACCCCGGGCCUGCAGUGGGUACGGGCAGACUAGAGUGCGGUAGGGGAGACUGGAAUUCCUGGUGUAGCGGUGAAAUGCGCAGAUAUCAGGAGGAACACCGGUGGCGAAGGCGGGUCUCUGGGCCGUAACUGACGCUGAGGAGCGAAAGCGUGGGGAGCGAACAGG